This 497-nucleotide ribosomal RNA is filed under the name uncultured bacterium. RNAcentral describes it as "partial 16S ribosomal RNA". It matches the Rfam family "Bacterial small subunit ribosomal RNA", at positions 28 to 507 of the family's 1533-position model. The record is from RNAcentral.
GAUGAACGCUGGCGGCGUGCCUAAUACAUGCAAGUCGAGCGAACAGACGAGGAGCUUGCUCCUCUGACGUUAGCGGCGGACGGGUGAGUAACACGUGGAUAACCUACCUAUAAGACUGGGAUAACUUCGGGAAACCGGAGCUAAUACCGGAUAAUAUAUUGAACCGCAUGGUUCAAUAGUGAAAGACGGUUUUGCUGUCACUUAUAGAUGGAUCCGCGCCGCAUUAGCUAGUUGGUAAGGUAACGGCUUACCAAGGCGACGAUGCGUAGCCGACCUGAGAGGGUGAUAGGCCACCCUGGAGCUGAGACACGGUCCAGACUCCUACGGGAGGCAGCAGUAGGGAAUCUUCCGCAGUGGGCGAAAGCAUGACGGAGCAACGCCGCGUGAGUGAUGAAGGUCUUCGGAUCGUAAAACUCUGUUAUUAGGGAAGAACAAAUGUGUAAGUAACUAUGCACGGCUUGACGGUACCUAAUCAGAAAGCCACGGCUAGCUACGUG